GGGAGUCUGAUAUGGCAGAGACGGUGGCGGGUUCUGUUUGUCUGGGAGUGUUUUCCUGCUGAUUUUCCAGGCUCAGGACAGAUCUCCUAAACUUAAGACAGGGCUGGCAUGGCUCUUCCUUCUUCCCCGUCUCUGUCCUAAUGACCAUUUCAAAUCUGAAUCUAAAUCUGAAGGGCGAAUGACAGAGGCGUCUCAGUUAACAAUGGAGUUUUGAACUUUGCCUCCCCUUCAGGGGGAAAAAGUAUGCCAAGAUACAGAACUAGUUCAGUUAAAUGGAGACCCACUUGGCCACUAAAUUUGAUAAUGCUUUUGUCUGAAGGUCAGAGGCUAAAUAUGUUCACACUAAUCCCCUUCAUCUAGAAUUAAAGGACAAGAAAGGUUUUCUGUAGCUUAGCGAGAGAGGGGCUUUUCUCAUCGCUGCCUAAAUAGUAUUUGCAGAGGGGGAAAAUUAAAGCUGAGCCCUUCACUGUUCGUUUUGAAUAUAGAUUCUGAGAUAUAGAGAAUAUAGAUUUUACACAUUUUCCCAUGAUUUAUUUUCCAGGCAAAACAUGACACCGUUCAAGCAGUUCUGCUUUUGUUAGAGCCCCAGAGAACUCAAGCUCUGGAAACAUAACUUUGCUACCCAGGUUAAAAAUGCAGAAUCUGCCUGCCCUGUCCUCUCCUUUCUGCACCGAAAACUGGAAGAUUCACCCGUGUUGAGACGCCAUUCUCAGAUUCACGUUUCAAAUGCUGUCACGCAACAUUACAGCCACACAAAGAGCCUCUGUGCGAUCGCUCAGAACUGGGGAGCAGGGAAUGCUGUAAACCCACAAGAGCCAAAAAGUUCCAGAGGGUAACGCUGCUAACCUGAGCUAACCCCGGUGCUCUGGGAUGCAACCGCGGCUGCCGCAUUUCUAGCACUGGUCUGAGAGAACCACCCUGCCAAAAGAUCCCAGUGGUAUACCGGAAGGGGCAGAGGCACGUGGGGUCCCAUGAGAGACCUUGCUGGCCAUUUUCUACCCUAGCCACAGGGUGCGCCAGAGAGCCAACAACACAAAAGGGCGGCCACAGGCCUGUUCUGGCAACCUGUUAGAGGCCUCUCCAGAGAUGCAUAUCAUUUAUUUCUGGCCAGAGUUGACCCAGUUCACACACCCCAGGCCCAAAAGCAGUCCCAAACUCAAUUGGUAGUCAAAAUCUGCACAUUUCUUUGCUUUGGGGGCAAUUUGCAGAAUCGCAAAAACGUGUUCUGAAGAUGCACACAUUUGAAAAACACACCCGAGAAAAGGUGCGGGUGAGAAACACGUAAAGAAACACCCCCUAAAAUGGGAGCAGGCAUGUGUCUGCUUCUACACUGCAUCCGACUGGUACAAUUAGGAAAACAUGUGCUAAAAUAGGCACAGCUUUUCAUGCAAGGGAGAAAUAGAGAGAGAGAGAGAGAGAGAGAAUGAACGAAUGAACGAACGAAGCACAUACAGUUUGGUUACAGACAUGAGUUGGAACAAACUUCAAAGCGGAAUCCAGAGAACCUGGAUGGCUCAGUCUUUGCACUUUGCCACUUGUAAUCCUUGAAGACCCGCACCUCUCUUUCUUUUCUUGGGUGGAUUUAGCCAAAAGACCCCGGUCUAUGCUGGGCAGGGCGCAGCGUGCAGCAGGGCCCCGACCAUUCCGGACCCCUCUGGAAUGCCUGAACAGAACGAAUCCGUGUAUUUGCAGACUUGGAUGUGGAAGGAGGUCCUUCGCAUGGCUGUGCACAGGGGCCUGAGGGCCGCGGCAUGACCCGUGUCCCUCUCUGGGCCUCCCUUCCUGGAGCCACGGCCACCACCGGCCCUGCUGCUCUUCCGAUUCCUCCCUGUGGCUCCCGUUUGCUUCCCAGGCAGGCAGGGGGCCAGGGGCAAGGGGGCUGCAGGGGCCCCUGCGCUGCCAGGCCCAGAGCGAGAGGAAGGUAAAGAAGCAGGUCACAAGGGUGAACGGGGAUGGGGCAUCCACAGGAUCUCAUCCGGGGGCCCCUGCACCUUCACGGGUGCUCCAACUUGCCAGCUCCAGCACCAGCCCUGACCGUACAGGGAUGACAGGCCUGCAGCCACUGCUGCUACCUUUUCGUUCACCCUGCAGCACUCGGACAAAAAUUAGGCGCUUUGUAAGUGAGAAAUGAAAGGUGAUUGUUCAAAAGCGAGUGACUGUCUCUGCGGAGUCUGAUGUGGUACAGAUGAUUCUGCCCGCCGGGACUCAGCCUGCUUCUCCAGGCUGCAGCAGAACCCCUAAAGAAACUUCCGGAAGCGCUGCGGCCACGAGGGGAAGACUUGGAAUUCGGCACGUGUGCCUGAUGGGCGGAAGACGGCACCCCCCCCCCGCUUCGCAUUUUAUCUGGCGCUCGCGCUCGGCUGGCCAAAACAGCUUCGGGAGGCGAGAGCUGUUUCUGUGACAGGAAGGCUCGCGAGGCAUCUCAUUUUCAGACACGAGCCAAAACACGCAGCAAAAUAUUUCAGUUGCAAGUCAUGAGGUUCUGAUUAUGGAAAGGAGACUUUCCAAAAAGAGACACCAGCCCGGUACUUUCUGUUCCUCUGUAAACACACCAAUGGCCCUUUUUCAAGUUACGCCAGGAAGAUUCUGUUACACGGGGCCAGGGCUUCACUGUAACAGCUUUGAAACAACAACCCCGAAGCACGGCUGGGAGCCAACGCGAGCGAAAAUAAACAACUUGGCCAGCCUCGCAGAUCCAUAUUUAGGCACCGAAAAUAAGUGGGGUGAUUUUCAGAAAUGCGGACCUCCCAAAACAGCUCCUGGGGUCAGCUGCCGACGUCACUGGCUGGUGGGAGAAGGUGCGGCUGGCUCAAUGGCCGUAGGCACUCUCACGACAGGUUGUGAGCCGAGAAAUCGUCCAGCAGGGGACUGAGCGCUGUCCUGUGUGAUUCCAUCUGCUCCGCUCCAGAGAGAACAGCGAGGAGCCGGGGAGGUGCCCCUUUCCUCUCCAUGGUUUCUUUGCAAGUACUGAGCAUCACGGCCAAGUGGAGAUUUGACGCCAGGCCUUCCAAGUCCCAGUGCAGCCAAAACCUGCUCCAGCCUGCGAGGCCCUGAUGCAGACACUGCGGGACCAGCGCUCCGUGUGCGGAGGUCUUCCGGCCCUUCCCACCCAGGUUCCCCCCAAAUGCCUGGCGCUCCCAUGGACAAAGCUACAUGACCCGGAGAGCACCUAUGCCCCAAAGCACCUGGAAGAAGCCUCCCUGCGGAUGGAGACGUCUCCACAGACGUCAGGUCCCAGCUUCCACCCUUGGCUCCUCCACAAGCACAUCUCAGGCACAAUGAGGCGAAGGCUCUUUGCCCCAGAUGGCAGGGGAGAGACCCUGCGGUCUCCCCGCGUUCGUCCGCAGUAGGCAUUACUACAGGAGCAAUGCUUGUUUUCCUCAGGACUCGCUCACCUCGCCCCUGAGCCCAGCUGGCAGGGUGGAGCAGGGCUUGCAUCAGCCGGGCAUGCUGGGGCACAUGGGACCCAGGGCAGAAGGGGCCUCUACUCCAGCACCUAGCUGCCGAGCGGUGCCUCCCUGAAGGCCGCCCAGGGAGAAGUUGUUGGAUCACGGCUGUCCCCGGCUGGUCCAGUCCAUCACGCUAGGAAAGGUCAUCCGUGGAGGGCGACUGAAUGUUAUCACUGAAUGUGAAGAGGGCAUCACAUGAGUUUGGAGGGGUUUCUGUGUCACCUACCGCUUUGGCUGCAAACUAGGAGCGAACAAACCCAAGCAAAUGAAAGACAAUUCCAAAGUGAAGAGCACAGAUCCUUCACCAGCCCCUGAAGUCAACAGCAGACGUUUCCCACGGCUGCAUGGGAAGACAGGGAUUAAACCCACACCUUCCAAAGGCUCAUCUGAUUUACCCCACAAAAUAGCUUAAUUACCAGAAAGCCAGAACCUAACAUUGGGUGAUAACAAUGCAUGCAACUCGGUUACAGCUGUUUUCAGCUUUAACCUUCCGCAGAUCCAUAAAAAGCGUUCCUGAAUUGGGAGCUCUACAUCUUUAAAGUCAUUGACCAGGUCUUGGGUCUACCUGCAAUUCUGUUGGGCCCAGCCUCCAUGGAGAAGCGCCUGGACUGCACCAUCAGUCACUGAGGCCGAAAGGGUCUAUCAUACACACUUUCCCACAUCCCUAUUAGAAUUCCACCUUGGUGUGCAUUAUAAGUAUAAACAGACAAAUGUGACAGGUUAGAUUCUAGUCAGUUCUUCUUUUUCCUGCAUUCAUUUCUACCUGAUUUUUACGUCUACCCUAGCUGAUUUCUAAAUCAGUUUGCAAACUUGCUUUUUAAAAUCCACAUGAAUAGUCAUAAAUAUUUCAUGCACAUUUAUCUCAAUGUACACAUCUUUCUUUAUAUGUCUUUCAAAAGACAUUUUUGUACAUUCUUUUCAUAAUAUGCACAUUUUUGCAAGCAAUUUCCCCUAAUACAGUGGAAUUUUGCGCACAUUUCCUCUAAUAUGCACAUUUUUGUGUAUUUCCCCCUCCAUUAUAUGCCUCUUUUGAGUGCACCUGUGUUUACAACUGCUCUGCAAAAUUCAAAAUGUAAAUAUUACCCUAUCUGUGACAAGAUUCCAGGCCUCAGAGGUGCAAAAUUGAUACACAGACAUCAAAAUCUAAGCAAUUUUUCACCCACCCCUAACUGCAAGCUUCACUGGGGCCAGGCUCUGUGGAAAGAGAAGCAUAAUUAUAGUAACACUUUUUUCGACACCCUCCGGGAGAGAGCGCAUCUUGGAUCUUUGUUUUGCUUCUGUGUUUGGCAGUGAAGCAGCAUUUCAGCAUGAGUUAAAAUGUCAGGCCUUUCAGAGAUUUUGACUGCAGUAAGAGAAGCCACCUUGAUGACCACAGAGUGACAAAGUUCCUAAGACAGGCACUCCAGAUUUAUCAAGAGCACAUCGCUUCGUAAAAUCGACACAGCAAAAGUUCCAUCAGCUCUGCCUCAUGGCCAAGUGGGAUCCCAACGGGGGGCACGAAGACAAGCCCUCCUCUGCAGCCGUGAUUCCAGAACAUUUCAGAAGGUUAUGGAAGUGGGAAAGAACCUACACUGAGCUGGUUGCUUCAUGUCCAAAGGAAGCCACAUUCCUACCUAUUCAGCAGAAACGAAAGCUCCCAAAAUCUGCAAGCAUUUCCUGAGGGAUUCCUCAGAUGUUAUAAUUAUUAGGCAAAGGAGAGGAGUGCCUGAAAUCAAGCGAGUUGCGAUCUCAAGAUCAAGGAGGCCGGAAAAGCUACAUGGAUGUGGCAAAAGAUGCAGCUCAAUUUAUUCUAUUCCAUCCAGGAGCCACAAGCGAAGUGUUCCAAUGGCAUCUCCAGAGGUUGCCUGAGCUGCUGAAAAAAAGCUCCCAAAGAGGCUGGUGUCUCUUUUAGCACUCCUUUUGUGCCAAGUUCAAUGGAUAUUUUUUCAAUCCAGUAAACAACUCCUGGGCAACAUAUAUUUCCUUUAAAACAGUGCCCUCUGUGCUUCUUCAGUGGCUGGUUAAAUCUUUCUGAUCAACAUCAGCAUCCAACAAUAAACAAGACUUAUACUGCUCAUAUGUUAGAGAUUAUGUGAUAGUUUUCUGCCUGUGGGGUGGAAGAAACUGAGCCUUAUUUAGCAAGUCCACUGCUGCUAUUACUAACCUAUCUUUAAACUACCGUAGCUGCCAACGCAGGAUCAAAAUAUGAAGGUUUACAUCAUGUGUGUAAGUCUGCAGCCCCACAUAUUCAAAUGACCAGAGGACAAGACACAGACAAGUUUAGUUUUUUUAAACUGUUCCACUGCCAUCCUCCCCUCAUCGAUGCAAAAUGUCUUUUCUUUAAAGAGCCCAACAGAUCAGAUUUCCAUACAUAUUACAAAAUAUACCUGAGGAAAUACAAGAGAUUCUGGUAAUACAUCAGUCUAACGUCACAGGAGAGAAUUCGGAGAUGAGAGGAAUAAAGUUCUAUGCGAGAAGCUCCACCAGUGCUCCCUGACACUGGAAGGUGAGCUUUCGUGGCAUUACAUGAGCAGUAAGGUGGGCGAGGGAGCUGGCAAAUUUAAUGCAAGAACUGCCUGGCAGGCUUGUCUGGAAAGCCCUGGAAUAGGUAGGGCAGCCCCUUCCCUGGGUCUACCAAGUUUUAUGGUGGAAAACAGAGAUUCGUUUGCCUCUCUCCCAUGAUAUCAGAACCUGUACAGAGCCCCGUGCUUUCCAACCUAUUCUCAAAAUGAUCUAGACUUAGCACUGAGCAGUCAAGUGGCCAAGUUUGCUGAGGACACCAAACUAUUCACGCUGGGGCAAAAAUCCCCAACUUCAGGUGUAAGCGGAGGGCAUCUAAGCCAGCAGUGACCAUUCAAAGAGGAAAUCUUGGCAUUGCGGUGCCCAGCUUGGCGGAAAUGGCAGCCCGGUGUGCGGGGGCUGUGAAAAAGACGAGUCAACGUCGGGCACAGUAAGGAAAGCGACUGGAACUGAAACUGCCAGCACCGAAUUACCCUUAUAGUGAUCUAAGAUGCAGCCACAUACGGAAAGCUGCAGACGCUUCUUUCCACUGCAGCUAAACAAGGAUAUUAUAGGAUUGGGGCAGAAAAGGGUAAGAGAAAUGAUUGAGGGGCUGGAGGAAGCACCUCCCCUAUGAGGAAAGGUUGCCAACAUCUGGGAUUGCUUAGCUUAGAGAACGAGGCAAGGAAGGGGAGACCAGCGAGAGGUGUGUGACAUUACGGAUGAUGUGGAGAAAAUGGAGAGUGGGCCAUAUUUCUUCCUCUCCUAUAAUAUUAGAAGCGGUAGGGGGCCAUCUCACGAAACUGCCUGGAGAGAGAUUUGGGUCAGAUAAAAGAAAGCCCUUCUACGAGAUA
Long non-coding RNA from Varanus komodoensis (Komodo dragon), 6781 nucleotides. RefSeq lists it as uncharacterized. Lineage: Eukaryota; Metazoa; Chordata; Lepidosauria; Squamata; Varanidae. The transcript is spliced from 2 exons. The record is from RefSeq and is a predicted model, not a curated record.